RNAcentral lists this long non-coding RNA (467 nucleotides) under Gallus gallus (chicken). The record is from RNAcentral. Lineage: Eukaryota; Metazoa; Chordata; Aves; Galliformes; Phasianidae.
GUUUGUUCUUCAUCUUGCACAAAUUAGCUGGGUGUGAUUCAGAUGAGAGGCUGUCUCCUCGUGAAGAACUGCUGAGCACAUGCUCUCCCAAACUGUCAUUCAAGCUAUUACUGAGCUGCCAUGCCAACUCCUCGUCUUGUUUAAGCUGUUCCUCCAUCUCCUUUCGUCUUUCUUCUGCCAAUCUGUGCUCUUCCUCUUCUUCUGCUAGCAGCUUUUGAAUGUACUCCUCACUUGCCUUGUUCUCUUCUUGCUCAUGUGCUCGCCUUUCUGCCUCCACCUUGCUAACCUCUGCUUCAUAUUCCUGUCUAAGUUCCCCAGGUUUGCUCAGCUGGUGUUGUGGAUGGGGGACAAAGAUUUCCUCUUCCAAAUCCUGUCCGUUAAUUCUACGCUCACAUUCCUUCGGAUAUUUCUUUUGAAUCUUCUCCCAGAGUUCCCAGUUGAUGAGAGUGUUUCUGCGGGCAUUAUAC